Molecule: ribosomal RNA, 508 nt
Filed under: uncultured bacterium
Lineage: Bacteria
Description: partial 16S ribosomal RNA
Rfam family: Bacterial small subunit ribosomal RNA
Source: RNAcentral
GACGAACGCUGGCGGCGUGCCUAAUACAUGCAAGUCGAACGCUUCUUUCCUCCCGAGUGCUUGCACUCAAUUGGAAAGAGGAGUGGCGGACGGGUGAGUAACACGUGGGUAACCUACCCAUCAGAGGGGGAUAACACUUGGAAACAGGUGCUAAUACCGCAUAACAGUUUAUGCCGCAUGGCAUAAGAGUGAAAGGCGCUUUCGGGUGUCGCUGAUGGAUGGACCCGCGGUGCAUUAGCUAGUUGGUGAGGUAACGGCUCACCAAGGCCACGAUGCAUAGCCGACCUGAGAGGGUGAUCGGCCACACUGGGACUGAGACACGGCCCAGACUCCUACGGGAGGCAGCAGUAGGGAAUCUUCGGCAAUGGACGAAAGUCUGACCGAGCAACGCCGCGUGAGUGAAGAAGGUGUUCGGAUCGUAAAACUCUGUUGUUAGAGAAGAACAAGGACGUUAGUAACUGAACGUCACCUGACGGUAUCUAACCAGAAAGCCACGGCUAACUACGUG